UAGUCGGCCAGCACAGUUGCACUUGAUGCACUCUCGAUCCAGAAUCAGGAAUCAGAUCAUGCGCCCCCUUUUCUGCAGAGCUGUCGUCGCGGGAGCUGUUGAUCUCGCUCGGUCGAACUCGAUCGUAGGACAGGCAGGAAGAAUUAUCAGGCAGUUCUUCUGUAGUUGUGGUGGUGAUUAAUACUGACCAUGAACUCGAUAUUCCAUCCUUAUCUAGUUUGGUAGAUAUCCUGGACUGUCUUAUGAGGAAACGGUUUACAUUGUUCUACUGGUCAAAGUGGUCACAGAGCUGAGGCCCGUUGAAGAGAGAAUACUGUAGGCUAGAUCUACUGUGAAGGAUUUACCCCUGUUUAGUGCGAGGUGGACGGCGUCGUUUUAAUUUGGGACCAACAAUCGUGGCAUGUUAGAACCCCGAUGUUGUAGCCAAUCCUUAGAGGACCAGUAAGAACAAUACAAGGAGACACGCUUUCAUGCUCUGCCGGGUGCAGUAUUGUCAGGGUUACGCCGGAUAUAACCAAGCACUUAUUUGGCAAGAGUGAGCUGGUUUUCAACAAGGAUAACAGCAAUUGAUUUAGGAAUUACUACUGUUUACUACUUGAUUAUAUGAUCAUCAUCAUAAUCCAAUCUGGAAUCUCCUCUUUUGAACUUGGACCUUGUACUUGUACAUUGGAAAAGCCAAUCAUCCUAUCAUUGUGCAAAUAAGUGACUUUCUUUUUGUUACUUCCAAAGUCGGACUCGAGUCGGAUUUAUUCAAUAGACUCCUGGCGUCUACCAUAAUUU
Molecule: long non-coding RNA, 780 nt
Filed under: Lytechinus variegatus (green sea urchin)
Lineage: Eukaryota; Metazoa; Echinodermata; Echinoidea; Temnopleuroida; Toxopneustidae
Description: uncharacterized LOC121426590, transcript variant X1
Source: RNAcentral